Molecule: long non-coding RNA, 370 nt
Filed under: Arachis ipaensis
Lineage: Eukaryota; Viridiplantae; Streptophyta; Magnoliopsida; Fabales; Fabaceae
Description: long non-coding RNA (AIPA_LNC000600)
Source: RNAcentral
GGCUGCGCGAUUCUGAUAGCUCUGGUGUUACGACGACCUUGAAAGUAUUUAAUACUAAAAUAUGAGCCUGUUUAAAACUUAGACUGAAUUUUUUCGAAAACAAUCAUUCAUACUUACAAUGCAACUUACAAAACUCACAAAGAAUACAUAUGUAGAUAUACUAAUAACUUUACAAGCAUUAACUAAUACAAUUCCUAUCCCUCUUACAGAACUCGCAAAGUUAAAGGCGAGGGAAAAAUAUANNNNNNNNUAUCUCAUAUCAAAAUCCUAUCCCUCUUACAGAACUUGCAAAGUUAAAGGCGAGGAAAACAUAAAUACUAAAACAAUACAGAAAUAUCGUCUAACAGAAAAGAAAUAAGCUCUUCCGAAC